Molecule: ribosomal RNA, 824 nt
Filed under: Streptococcus sp. HGH0319
Lineage: Bacteria; Bacillati; Bacillota; Bacilli; Lactobacillales; Streptococcaceae
Description: bacterial SSU rRNA
Rfam family: Bacterial small subunit ribosomal RNA
Source: RNAcentral
AGUAGGACGCACAGUUUAUACCGUAGCUUGCUACACCAUAGACUGUGAGUUGCGAACGGGUGAGUAACGCGUAGGUAACCUGCCUAUUAGAGGGGGAUAACUAUUGGAAACGAUAGCUAAUACCGCAUAACAGUAUGUAACACAUGUUAGAUGCUUGAAAGAUGCAAUUGCAUCGCUAGUAGAUGGACCUGCGUUGUAUUAGCUAGUAGGUAGGGUAAUGGCCUACCUAGGCGACGAUACAUAGCCGACCUGAGAGGGUGAUCGGCCACACUGGGACUGAGACACGGCCCAGACUCCUACGGGAGGCAGCAGUAGGGAAUCUUCGGCAAUGGGGGGAACCCUGACCGAGCAACGCCGCGUGAGUGAAGAAGGUUUUCGGAUCGUAAAGCUCUGUUGUUAAGGAAGAACGAGUGUGAGAAUGGAAAGUUCAUACUGUGACGGUACUUAACCAGAAAGGGACGGCUAACUACGUGCCAGCAGCCGCGGUAAUACGUAGGUCCCGAGCGUUGUCCGGAUUUAUUGGGCGUAAAGCGAGCGCAGGCGGUUAGAAAAGUCUGAAGUGAAAGGCAGUGGCUCAACCAUUGUAGGCUUUGGAAACUGUUUAACUUGAGUGCAGAAGGGGAGAGUGGAAUUCCAUGUGUAGCGGUGAAAUGCGUAGAUAUAUGGAGGAACACCGGUGGCGAAAGCGGCUCUCUGGUCUGUAACUGACGCUGAGGCUCGAAAGCGUGGGGAGCGAACAGGAUUAGAUACCCUGGUAGUCCACGCCCGUAACGAUGAGUGCUAGGUGUUGGGUCCUUUCGGGACUCAGUGCCGCAGCUAACGCA